GCCACACCCCUUGGUCGCGAGCUCUGAGCCCUUUGCAGCAUUUGACACUGGACAUGCUCGUGCUUCUUAAAACACUUGCCUAACGGUAAGCAACGGCAUCCAACGGUGCCCGAGGGAGUCGCGCUGCCGGAUAAGCAGCUCUGCGGUGGCAGAGGCUGGGCUGCGGUCUCUCCGACAUCGCGGAACAGAGGAAGAGAUGAAGGCCCUGCAGCCCCCGCCGCCCGAUUUACGCUUGAGGAAGCGCAGGCGAGAGAGGUCGUCUGCAGGGCCAGUCCAGGGCCGCCGGGGGGCCCAGCCCUAGAGAGCGGGGCCCGGGCUGCGGGGACCGGCGGCCUGAACGGCGGAGCGUUGAAAGCUCCCCCAGGGAUAGGAAGUGCAGCGGAAAUCAAUGACUGAGGUCAAGGAAGGAGGGGACGCUUGAGACCGUGGAGGGGAAGCAGGUUUCUCCAGGAGGGAACCCGGGCCUCCGCUUUGCUCGGCGUUCCCCUUGCGAAUGUGUUGAGCACCUGUUAUGUGCUGGGGGUACAGAGGAUCUGAGCACCUCCCUCACACGGGCAGAACCCUGGCUCCCAUGUUCACCAUGCUGAGAGAGACCUUCGGGGAACAACGAGAGGCCAGCCGGGGAAUGGGCCCCCACUUGUCCAGCAUCAGAGGCAGAGCCCGCGCAUGCCCGACCUCGCUCCUCGCGCUCCCUGGGCAGCAGCUCCCUGGCAGUUGGAACUGGAAGGCUUCUCAGAGUCCGCGCAGCCCCACCGCUCUCCCCACUCUCGGGGUUGGGCACUGGGGGGACAGAGCCAGGGCAGGGAGGAAGACAGGGCCCGGCUCACCCCGCAGCUCAGCCCAUGAGGGUACGCGGAGCAGGGCUGGCAGGAGCGGGCCACUCCACACCCAGCCCUGUUGAAGAAAAAGAACAGAAACAGGGAACAGAAACUUGUCGGUUGCUGUGUAACAAUUUGCCCCGCAGCUGAGCCCCUUCAAACAAAUGUAGCUCCACAGUGUCUGUGGGUCAGACAUCCAGGCCCGGUGAAGGAGCCUCUGCCUCAAGGUCCCUCCCGAGGCCUCCGUCAGGACCCGCCGGACUGUGAGCGGACUGCAGGCUCCAGGCGGGGAGGCUCAGCUUCUCUGCUGGCCCCGCGGCUGUGGGCAGGAUUCAGUUCCUCACGGGCUAUUAGAGUGAGGGCCUCGAUCUUUUCUGCUUUUUGGCUGGAGGCCUCACUCAAUUCUCUGCUGCACGGACCUUUCCUUGGCACAGCUCCCGCAUAGCUCAGCAAGCCGCAAAGGCAGGCUCCUGCAGCCACAGGGAACCCCCCCUCUUUCUGCUGUGUUCUGUUGGUGUGGGUUCCGCCCAGGGGAGGAGGUUCCACAGGACACACACCAGGAGUUGGGGGCGCUGAGGGCCAUCUCCCAGGCUGCCCACCACAGCCCCACGUGGCCACCCGUGUCUGUGUUCUUGCCACUGUCCCUACCCUCCGGGAGUGGGUCUGGUCUCAUCAGGGAGGGCAGCGCUCUCUUCACUCUGUCCUUGCUCUGGUGUUUCACUGUGAUUUUAAAAACUGAAACUGGAAUUGUUACCCCUUGAUAUAGCUGCACCCUGAGUGGGCCUCUGCGACGCCCCUCCUUCUCUUAAGCCUUUCCAAGCUGUCUGACGAUUUUUAAGUCCCAUUUCCUGAGUGGCACAGAGCAUCUUAAGCUUCUGAGUGACUUGUGUUUUCCUCAGAGACAGAGGGGACCCCCAAUCUGUUUGUUUCCAGAGGCCCUGAUGGUGUCUUGGGAGUGGAGGAACCUGAAGGAAAGUCCCGGGGGCGAGUCCGGGGAGAGCUCUGCCCUGGCGCCCUUGCACGUAUCCACAUGGGCCACAGCUGCACCCUGCUCUCAGCAGAGCACCUUGCCAUGCUCCUGGGCACAGCCGGGCCCCCUCGCCUCCCUGCGGCUCCUAAUGCCUCCCAGGCUCUGCUGAGUCACCUUGGGCACUUAGCGUGGCUGCAGCUCUUUGCGGCCCAGUGUCCUGUCAUCCAUGUGGCAGUCAUGUGGUCACUUUUCGGUAUUGCCCUGCACAAGGUCCAUGGGGACUGGGCACCUUUGGCCAUUCUUUCUUUGGUUGUCUGUGCAAAUAAUAAACCAAAUCUGAAAAGGUC
Molecule: RNA transcript, 2135 nt
Organism: Chlorocebus sabaeus (green monkey)
Lineage: Eukaryota; Metazoa; Chordata; Mammalia; Primates; Cercopithecidae
Source: RefSeq, a predicted model, not a curated record